GGUCAAUGAUGUGAUGUAAAAGGUCUGAGACCCAGUUCCCCUCCCCUGCCGUCCACCGUCUCCUUGCUGCACCAGCACCCAGCAUGCUCUAGUUGUGCAAUGCUGGGCCCUGGGAGCUGCCGACAAAAGAGGAUGACCUCACAUUCUGUGUCUGUAAGAGAUCAUAGAGUCACAGGGAUGAGGGACAUCUAACAGAGCCAUUCACAAAGGUGUAUCAGGCUGAGGUAUGGGGCUGGGCCACUGAUCUCAACUUUUAAACUGAGACC
Molecule: non-coding RNA, 266 nt
Organism: Esox lucius (northern pike)
Lineage: Eukaryota; Metazoa; Chordata; Actinopteri; Esociformes; Esocidae
Gene: SCARNA6
Product: small Cajal body-specific RNA 6
Source: Ensembl